ACGCUCGACACCUACGGGGGGCAGCAGUGGGGAAUAUUGCACAAUGGGGGAAACCCUGAUGCAGCAACGCCGCGUGAAGGAAGACGGUUUUCGGAUUGUAAACUUCUGUUCUUAGUGAAGAUAGUGACGGUAGCUAAGGAGCAAGCCACGGCUAACUACGUGCCAACAGCCGCGGUAAUCUGAGCGGGCUGGCAAGGC
RNAcentral lists this ribosomal RNA (198 nucleotides) under uncultured bacterium. RNAcentral describes it as "partial 16S ribosomal RNA". It matches the Rfam family "Bacterial small subunit ribosomal RNA", at positions 328 to 539 of the family's 1533-position model. The record is from RNAcentral.